Salvia splendens (bonfire salvia) is the source of this 762-nucleotide long non-coding RNA. RefSeq lists it as uncharacterized. The transcript is spliced from 3 exons. NCBI's taxonomy places the organism in Eukaryota, Viridiplantae, Streptophyta, Magnoliopsida, Lamiales, Lamiaceae. The record is from RefSeq and is a predicted model, not a curated record.
UGUUUGAAGUGAAAGUAUGUUGACAGCUGGAUAUUUUUAAGAGUAUCAUCAAAAAGGUUAAUAUAUACAAGGCACUCUCCCUCCAUUAUUCUUCAUCUUCUUUGGCAUUUCCCUCCUUAAUUCUCCCCUCAUCUCCCUCUCCCUUAUCGCCUUCCGCCGUCACCUGGUUUCGCCGUUGCAGAGUUUCAAGAGACGUCAUGGCUAGAUUACUACCGGCGCUUAUGCCUUCCUUGGUUGUGGUCGGAAUCAAUGGAGCUCGCAACGUUUACGGUAUCCAUAUUGGAGACUGCUCUUACUUUUGCCAAAGGAGCAGUCUGCUUGGAUGGCAUCCCUCCGCCCCAAGGAUUUGGAGACGGAAUCGACAACUGGCAUGUGUUUAGAGAGCCAGCAAUGUCACCAUCUCUCUAUUGGAGUUGGCUAUAGCUAAAGGAGCGGGUACAUUCAUACAUACGUAUAUAUAAACUCUAGCCCAAUCCAUUUCAAUCUUUUAGAAAAGAAUUGUUUGAUCACACACUAUUAGUUUAAUUUUACGUGUAUUUUUCAGACGAUAGCAGAGCGAUUAGUACUUUGAUCAAAACAAGUGCUAGGAGAUGAACAUGCUCAACGACUUGCAACGGACCUGCACUACUAUCGACGACGAAGCUACUUUUGAGAGAAAAAAAAUGUAUUGAUAAUAUGCAACAUAAGAAACCAUAAAUUGGUAGUCUUUGAAGUUUAAUUUGUACUUUUAGUUAAUUAAUGAAGGGUAAAUUUUUUGUUUAA